GAUGAACGCUGGCGGCGUGCCUAAUACAUGCAAGUCGAGCGAACGGACGAGAAGCUUGCUUCUCUGAUGUUAGCGGCGGACGGGUGAGUAACACGUGGAUAACCUACCUAUAAGACUGGGAUAACUUCGGGAAACCGUAGCUAAUACCGGAUAAUAUUUUGAACCGCAUGGUUCAAAAGUGACAGACGGUCUUGCUGUCACUUAUAGAUGGAUCCGCGCUGCAUUAGCUAGUUGGUAAGGUAACGGCUUACCAAGGCAACGAUGCAUAGCCGACCUGAGAGCGUGAUCGACCACACUGGGACUGCAGCACGGUCCAGAGACCAACGGGAAGCAGCAGACGCGAAUCUACAGGAAUGGGCGAAAGCUUGACGAAGCAACGACGCAUGAGUGAUGACGCUCUUCGGAUCGUAAAACUCUGUUAUUAGAGCAGAACACAUGUGUAAGUAACUGUGCACAUCUUGACGGUACCGAAACAGAAAGCCACGUCUAACUACGUG
This 497-nucleotide ribosomal RNA is filed under the name uncultured bacterium. Its description in RNAcentral is "partial 16S ribosomal RNA". It matches the Rfam family "Bacterial small subunit ribosomal RNA", at positions 28 to 507 of the family's 1533-position model. The record is from RNAcentral.